This 80-nucleotide small nuclear RNA is filed under the name Homo sapiens (human). RNAcentral's name for it is "partial ncRNA". Lineage: Eukaryota; Metazoa; Chordata; Mammalia; Primates; Hominidae. The record is from RNAcentral.
ACAAGAAUCGCUUGAACCUGGGAGGCAGAGGUUGCAUUGGGCCGAGAUUGUGCCACUGCACUCCAGCUUGGGCAACAGAG